GGGGCUGCAGCUCAGUGGUAGAGUGCUUGCCUUGCAUGCAUGAAGCCCUGGGUUGGAUCCUCAGCACCACA
This 71-nucleotide transfer RNA is filed under the name Marmota monax (woodchuck). RNAcentral's name for it is "tRNA.Ala". It matches the Rfam family "tRNA". From Rfam's summary of the family: Transfer RNA (tRNA) molecules are approximately 80 nucleotides in length. Lineage: Eukaryota; Metazoa; Chordata; Mammalia; Rodentia; Sciuridae. The record is from RNAcentral.